AACGGGGGGGGCAGGUGUUAUUCAUCCUGACUGGGCGUAAAGGGCACGUAGGUGAUUUAUUAAGUUUUGAAUAAAAUACUUUAGCUUAACUAAAGAUCUGUUUUUUAAACUGGUAGAUUAGAGUUUAUUUGAAUAAAAUGGUACAUUUAGUGUAGAAGUGAAAUUCGUAGAAAUUCGAUGGACCACCGUCUGGCGAAGGCGAUUUUAUAAUUAUGAACUGACACUAAGGUGCGAAAGCAUAGGGAGCAAACGAG
This 254-nucleotide ribosomal RNA is filed under the name uncultured bacterium. Its description in RNAcentral is "partial 16S ribosomal RNA". It matches the Rfam family "Bacterial small subunit ribosomal RNA", at positions 524 to 776 of the family's 1533-position model. The record is from RNAcentral.